UCUACUUUCCUGAUGUGCAUCAUGUGUUCUGAUGUUACAUCUUGCAUGUGAUGUUUUCAUUCUAUUCCUUGUGUUAGAUCUAACACCAGAACAGAUGGUACACCUCAGGAAAGUAG
RNAcentral lists this microRNA precursor (116 nucleotides) under Asparagus officinalis (garden asparagus). RNAcentral describes it as "miR12177 stem-loop (aof-MIR12177)". The record is from miRBase by way of RNAcentral. Lineage: Eukaryota; Viridiplantae; Streptophyta; Magnoliopsida; Asparagales; Asparagaceae.